Heterocephalus glaber (naked mole-rat) is the source of this 5058-nucleotide long non-coding RNA. RefSeq lists it as uncharacterized. Lineage: Eukaryota; Metazoa; Chordata; Mammalia; Rodentia; Bathyergidae. The record is from RefSeq and is a predicted model, not a curated record.
GGUUAUGGGGAAGCCACACUUCCAGGCCCCAAGGCUGUACCCAGCAACUCAAAUGAAUGAGGCAAACGUGCGUGCAUUGACUCACAGGGUGACACUGAAACAGCCCAGGCUGGUGCGGUGACUGGGGGUGGGGUGGGGGGAGCUCAGCAAGCACAUGGCCCUGGGUUCCAUUCCCAGAGGGAAAGAAGGAAGGAAGCAAGGGAGGAAAAGGAACAGAGAAAGGAAAACGAAGUGUGCAGAAGCAGGGCUUGUAUGUGGUCCUGAGACGACAUUGGUACAGCCAGGGUGUCAGCUCUGCUGACAGAGCAAAAAUAUCUCCAGGACAUUGUUAAGUGGAAAAUAUCAGGACCAGAACAGCAUGAAGAAGAUCAGCCCUUAUGUAAACACAAAACAAGCCCUAAAAUAGGCAUGUGUGUACACACAGGCAGUACAUACAGGGUCAAAGAGCCAGGAAGGAAAACUGGAUUCGAGCAAGAUUACCUCUGGGCAGGGAUUAGGCCCAGGGCAGACUGGGUAUCGAAGAGACACUGUAACAUUUUGCUGAAUGUAAUUCUGUUAUCUGAAAAAACGUGUGGUGAACACAGUUAAGUAAAUGAAAACCUUAGGCCUUUGGUUUUGUUUUUAUGAGGAGAAAAAUGCCUUAGGGGCUAAAGUGCAGGGUCAGCUGGAGUCCUGGUUCCACUAACCAGGUUUCCACAUAAUCUUUAUGCACCUCAGUUUCCUCAUCUGGGAAGUGGGAUAAUUCUACUUCAUGCUCCACAGAAUGAUGUGAGAUGAAACGCACUGAGAUGCAUGAUCUUGGGUGUGGAUGAAACUGUGAAGCUAGAAUGGGCAAGACCAGCUCAUGUCACUGGCUAAGUAACAGUGGAAAUGGUUUACUUUUCAGCAGUCCGCCUUGGGGAGAAUGGAGUGGUCAAUAGGAAGAGUCACUUCAGAGGUCCACGCCGGUGGGAGGGAUUGUCCUUUGGUUGCACCUUCCUUUUCUAGGCAAGCCCCUGCUGCCAUUCCUUUAGUCGUCAUCAAGUGCAGACUGAGCAAGUACAAAUCUUGUGUGGAAGUCCUAACUGCAGUGUGUGGCCUUAUUUGGAAGUUAGGGUUGUUGCGGAUUAGUUAAGAAGAGGCCACCUGGAGUCAGGAGGGCCAUAACCCAGCAUGACCACGAGUCCUACCAUGACAGGAAGAGACACAGACACACGAAGGGACACUGCCAGGCUAGGAGCGCUCCACCGGCAGCAUGGGGAACACUGAGGUUGCCAGCAAAUCCCCAGGCCAGGAAGGGUCUCAGAGGGCCCGGCCCUGGACACCUCGCUCCGAGAUUUACAGCCUCCAGAAUUGAGCGUCCAUGAAUUGCUGUUUUCCUAAGGUGCUCCGUUUGUUGCAUCAGCCCUAGAAAGCUAAUACAGUGAGCAAGAUGGGGAGGUAAAAAAGCAUACCUGAGAGAUGUGAGUUUAAAUUCUGUGAUUGCCAUACCACUGGCUGUGUGAUCCCAGACACACUACUCAAUGUGCCUGAUCUCUGGGGCCCUUGGUGACAGAUAAAAACAAGAUAAAAGCAGUGCUUGUGGUGCAGCACAUCAUGGCAUUAAGUGAAAUGACAGGAAAUAUUUAGCCACACAAUCCUUGCCACACAAAGACAUCAGGACACCAGAUCCCUCAUGAACUCAGCAUCCCAGGGAAGCACUCCACCACGGAGCCACACCCCAAGCCUCUGCACACUCUCUCCGGAGCCUUGUGUUAAACCUAAAAGGCCAUGAAAUUUAGAAGAGCGCCAUCUGUCCUUGAAAAAAUGAGGGCUGGGCCAAAGCCAAGUAGCUUGAAUUCUUUAUCUCAGCCUGACAGCCUUUCUAAGCCUUUCUCAGGGAUGGUGAAACCUUCCACUCGGUCCUUCCAGUCGGAAACCAAUCUGUACUUCGGUGUGGUGGGGGCCUUGCAGCCUUGGGACAGGGCCUACUCUGCCCUCACUUUAAGACAGGAAGGGACAGCGUUUCUUCUAUGGUCUCACCGGGGUACAGGACUCUCUGCACUUCAUUCCUAGCCAGGCACUGGCACAAACCAGGUGUCAAGCUGGUCCUUCAAUUCACAGGAAGCCGCCUCCCAGGGUGCGUGGAACACGGGUGCCUUUCCAACCCUCUCAUCCCGGCCUGUGUAGCGAGGAGGGCUGCCCAGGCUCCACCCAGUAGGGCCCAGGUCUCCCUCACCUGCUUCCCCUGCUCCCCUGGACCUCCUGCUUCCUCCUUGGGGCCCAGGCGUCUUGGGGAACCCAUUCACCCCAGCUCAGCCUGUAGGGCUGGGCCAGCCUUGGGCAGUGGGGUACAAGAGUGUGGAGUAAAUGCCCCAGCCUUUGUUCUCCAGCACUGGGCUCUGACACACAUCUGUCAGCUCCUCAAGAUUCCUGCGGGAUCCAGCCCUGUUGUGAGUAGUCAUGGCCAACACUAAGCAUUCUUGUAUUCUCUCUUCUCUGUUCCCUGUGACCCUGUUUCCAAGGAAAUAUGUCGAGAACCAUUCUAUGUAAUUUUGGAGAAAAAAAUCAUUUCACAAUUAAAUUAUGAUUAGGGCUGUCUGAGGACUAGUCUUCCUGCCUAUAGGCUGACUAUGGUGGGUUGAAACGUUAACUCCAUUUUGCCUUCCAUCACAGCUGAGGCCUCAACUGUCCUGUGACGCUGAUGCUAAGGGCAAGAUUACAUCAGCUGAAGACUCCCUGGUCCCUUUAGAACCCAGUAGUAGGAAGAGAAAGGUUUCACCUGGGGAGGGACAAGUUCCUUAUCAGCUUAACUCAUCCCAUCUACUGUGGUAAGUGUUUUGUUCAUCUCACCGUCCUCAUCAACAUAAGCUCCGCAUGGACCUAAGAUCCUCAUCAGCAUAAGAUCCUCAUCGUCAUAAGGUCAUAGGAUCACCACCGGCCUCAGUCAUCUGAUCCUCCCUGAGAACCCAAUAAAUAGCGGCAAGCUCUGAGUGUCUUUGCCUUUUCCCGCUCUGAGGCACUGACAUCCCGGGCCCCGUAUACUUGAAAUUACCCAAGUCUCUAUUGCCUCUUUUUCUUUAGCCAUCUCUGUCCUCCUUUCUAGGCAGCUGGAGGAUUGAUCACCCACCAAUAUAAAUAUUUGUCUUGAAUUCUGCUUUUGGGAAAAUGCACAGUGUGGUUACUUUUGAAGAUGGAGGUCAAACAUCCGGAAAUGGAAGCCAUCCCAGCUCAGGGCCUUUUCCACCAUACCCAGUGCAUGCCUUGGACCAGCACAUGGGGACAAAUUCAGUCCUCAGGUCUCUGGUCCUGCUUCCUGGACGCCCUGCUGGGAAGGUCUGGCUACUCCAUCUUCCAGGUCUACAACAACUUCGCAAUUGCUCCAGGUGAAUUCUCCUACCAGGGGAUCCACCAAGGGAAGAGCUUUCAUCUGAUUGUUUGUUGGUUCCCACAGCGCUGUAGAGAUCUGUGACAGCAGGUGCUCAACAGAGGUAGGUUAAAGCCACUCCUUGUACAAGCUCUCACAGACAACAAAUGCAACAGUGGCAGAGUUGCUGUCCUGCUCUAGUGGCCUUGGCUCUGGUCCCCAAGGCUGCGGAGGCCCUUGCCUCCCCUGGAGAGGUUUGGGGAGGUCUGUACACUUCCCUGAGUGGUUGCUGAUGUCUUCCCCCCUCUGCACCACUUCAGGGGCUUCUCCCAGCAAAACAUGGUCCCCUUUACUUCUCCCUCCCUCCCAGGAAUUACCCUUCAUGAGGAAGGCCCUUCAGUAAGGCUGGGGGAGAAGACACUGAUGACUGCUAUGCAGAGGCAUUUCUUCCUGAGGAUUUGCCGCCUAUCUCAGACUAAAAAAAAAAUCUCUCCAUAUUGCACAAGUUGGCUUCAAAUUCCUGGACUCAAGUGACCCUCCUGCCUCAGCCUCUGGAGUAGCUGGGAUUACAGGUGCACACUUCUGGGCCAGGCUCGGUCCCACAACUUUUAAUCGAUGAUGCCUGGAACUGAACUUGUUGACUCAAGGAGUAUGUGAAUUUGGAGUUUGGUAGUUUACCAAAUGUCACCGCGUAGAGGAUACAUCAGUCUGCACUCCCAUUAAGUCCAUGUGAAGUCAUCAGCAGUUGGUUAUCUAAUGAGAUAAAUAUUUGCCAGCUGCGUAGGUGCAAAGAUGGUGCUUUGUAGCUUUAAUUGCAUUUCUCUUAUUUUUAUUGAGGUUGGGAUCUUUUCAUACGUUCAAGAACUAUCUGAGUUUCCCUUUAUGUGAGCAAUUUCUAUUCUUUGUCCAUUUUCAAUUAGAUUAUUGGCUUUACUCUUACUUUUAUCAUUUAUGUGUUAAAGAGCCCUUGCCAACCAUAUGAGUUAUAAAUAUUUUUUCAAUUUGUGGUUUAUCUUUGGACUUACAGAAGGAUUAUUAUUGUUGUUAUUACUAUUAUUUUGCUUUGUAGAGGUUGUAAAAAGUUUUUAAACCUAUAAAAAAUUCAUACUUUUUUAUAUUUCUGGGUUUUGUUUCAUAUUUCACAUGAAGUUAUAAAAUACUUCUCACAUUACUGCUAGUAAUUUUAUGUAUCAGAAUCUAUUCUGGAGCUACUUAUAAAGUAAGGAACACUUUCAUUGUUUCUUCAAAUAGAUAUCCCUCUAAGCCAACAUCAUUAGUAUAAUAUGAAAAGUUUGUCAUAUACUUAAACUUAUUUCUGAAUUUUCCAGUUGGUUUUAGUGAUCUUUCUAUUUAUAUUGUUGUGAUUAUUAAGGAUAGGAUUUUAGACAUGGUAAUUUUAACCUUUUUUAUUACUCUAAUUUUUCCAAAAUUUCUGGCUAUUCUUGGUCAUUUUUCCACAAGAAAUUUAGAACUAGCUAGUUUCCUUCCCCCCAAAAUACCCUUUCAGUAUUUUUAUUGGGAUCCCAGGGAAUUUAUAGAUGCCCCGUCUCUGGCAGCUUUAUGAGUCCAAGGAGCUGAGAAGGCAGCGUUCUUUUGCAUUGUCAAAUUUUCCUUGAUGUCCUUCAGUAGCAUUACGAUUCCAAACUAUAAAUACUGCAUAUUUCUCAUUAAGUUUAUUCUUAGGGUUUUUAUUUUUUGUUGCUAUUUUAAAUAAGAUCUUUUCUUUCUUUAUA